RNAcentral lists this long non-coding RNA (252 nucleotides) under Manihot esculenta (cassava). RNAcentral's name for it is "long non-coding RNA (MESC_LNC012254)". Lineage: Eukaryota; Viridiplantae; Streptophyta; Magnoliopsida; Malpighiales; Euphorbiaceae. The record is from RNAcentral.
CCCAUCAUAACAAAGUUGAAUCUUCACAAAAGCCUUACUUGAUCUUCACUUUAGGCUUUCCUUUAUGUAGUUUUAGCCCAUAGGUUUGAUUAGGCUCCCUCAGCCUAUGAUUGCAAGUGUUGCACCAAAUCUGUCCCAUAUGAAUUAAAGCACGCCCCAAAUAUAUAUGGAUUAUAUGAAUAUGAUUUUGAACUACUCUUGGAUCCAUUGGAAUGAUAUAAGUUUGCUCCACACCAUUGUUAGAAAUUUGUC